UACGUAGGGGGCCAGCGUUGCCCGAAUUUACUGGGCGUAAAGCGCACGUAGGCGGCUUCGUAAGUCUGGAGUGAAAUCUUACGGCUCAACCGGGAGGCUGCACCAGAUACUGCGGAGCUCGAGGACGGGAGAGGAGAUCGGAAUUCCCGGUGUAGCGGUGAAAUGCAUUGAUAUCGGGAGGAACACCAGUGGCGAAGGCGGAUCUCUGGCCCGUUGCUGACGAUGAGGUGCGAAAGCUGGGGGAGCGGAAGGG
This 253-nucleotide ribosomal RNA is filed under the name uncultured bacterium. Its description in RNAcentral is "partial 16S ribosomal RNA". It matches the Rfam family "Bacterial small subunit ribosomal RNA", at positions 524 to 776 of the family's 1533-position model. The record is from RNAcentral.